CGGGACUGACGGGGCUCGAACCCGCAGCUUCCGCCUUGACAGGGCGGUG
RNAcentral lists this transfer RNA (49 nucleotides) under Symplocos paniculata. Its description in RNAcentral is "partial tRNA-Asp". Lineage: Eukaryota; Viridiplantae; Streptophyta; Magnoliopsida; Ericales; Symplocaceae. The record is from RNAcentral. RNAcentral also lists the same sequence under 67 other names.